UACGAAGGGGGCUAGCGUUGCUCGGAAUCACUGGGCGUAAAGCGCACGUAGGCGGAUUGCUAAGUCAGGGGUGAAAUCCUGGAGCUCAACUCCAGAACUGCCUUUGAUACUGGCGAUCUUGAGUCCGGGAGAGGUGAGUGGAACUGCGAGUGUAGAGGUGAAAUUCGUAGAUAUUCGCAAGAACACCAGUGCGAAGGCGGUUCUCUGGGCAUUACCUGACGCUGAGGAGCGAAAGUGUGGGGAGCGAACGAGGUAGAUCAU
This 261-nucleotide ribosomal RNA is filed under the name uncultured bacterium. RNAcentral describes it as "partial 16S ribosomal RNA". It matches the Rfam family "Bacterial small subunit ribosomal RNA", at positions 524 to 786 of the family's 1533-position model. The record is from RNAcentral.